CGAACGGGUGGGUAACGCGUGAGGAACCUGCCUCAAAGAGGGGGACAACAGUUGGAAACGACUGCUAAUACCGCAUAAGCCCACGGCUCGGCAUCGAGCAGAGGGAAAAGGAGCGAUCCGCUUUGAGAUGGCCUCGCGUCCGAUUAGCUAGUUGGUGAGGUAACGGCCCACCAAGGCGACGAUCGGUAGCCGGACUGAGAGGUUGAACGGCCACAUUGGGACUGAGACACGGCCCAG
This 237-nucleotide ribosomal RNA is filed under the name uncultured bacterium. RNAcentral's name for it is "partial 16S ribosomal RNA". It matches the Rfam family "Bacterial small subunit ribosomal RNA", at positions 99 to 334 of the family's 1533-position model. The record is from RNAcentral.